GUACUCACUUUGACAGCACAUAUUCUAAAAUUGGAACAAUACAGAGAAGAUUAGCAUGCCCCUGCGCAAGGAUGACACUCAAUUUUGUGAAGCGUUCCAUAUUAAA
This 106-nucleotide small nuclear RNA is filed under the name Jaculus jaculus (lesser Egyptian jerboa). Lineage: Eukaryota; Metazoa; Chordata; Mammalia; Rodentia; Dipodidae. The record is from RNAcentral.